GAUGAACGCUGGCGGCGUGCCUAAUACAUGCAAGUCGAGCGAACGGACGAGAAGCUUGUUUCUCUGAUGUUAGCGGCGGACGGGUGAGUAACACGUGGAUAACCUACCUAUAAGACUGGGAUAACUUCGGGAAACCGGAGCUAAUACCGGAUAAUAUUUUGAACCGCAUGGUUCAAAAGUGAAAGACGGUCUUGCUGUCACUUAUAGAUGGAUCCGCGCUGCAUUAGCUAGUUGGUAAGGUAACGGCUUACCAAGGCAACGAUGCAUAGCCGACCUGAGAGGGUGAUCGGCCACACUGGAACUGAGACACGGUCCAGACUCCUACGGGAGGCAGCAGUAGGGAAUCUUCCGCAAUGGGCGAAAGCCUGACGGAGCAACGCCGCGUGAGUGAUGAAGGUCUUCGGAUCAUAAAACUCUGUUAUUAGGGAAGAACAUAUGUGUAAGUAACUGUGCACAUCUUGACGGUACCUAAUCAGAAAGCCACGGCUAACUACGUG
This 497-nucleotide ribosomal RNA is filed under the name uncultured bacterium. Its description in RNAcentral is "partial 16S ribosomal RNA". It matches the Rfam family "Bacterial small subunit ribosomal RNA", at positions 28 to 507 of the family's 1533-position model. The record is from RNAcentral.